This 146-nucleotide unclassified non-coding RNA is filed under the name uncultured Helotiales. RNAcentral's name for it is "sequence contains ITS2". The record is from RNAcentral. Lineage: Eukaryota; Fungi; Ascomycota; Leotiomycetes; Helotiales.
CAACCCUCAAGCACUGCUUGGUAUUGGGCUUCGUCUGUAUUGACGGGCCUUAAAAUUAGUGGCGGUGCCAUUAGGCUCUAAGCGUAGUAAUUCUCUCGCUAUGGACGUCUGGUGGAUACUUGCCAGUAACCCCCAAUUUUUAAAGG